CAAAAUAACAUGAUAAUGUGAUAGCCAAUCCAUCCCCAAAAUGACUUCGAAAUCCACCAUAUCAAGAAGUAGGAGAUCUAUACUAGUUUUAAGACCCCCAAUAACAACCACACACGGUAUAUAGACACGAUAUACAAUAAUAGAAUCCCCUACUGGUGUGGACACAUACACGGGAGUACUCAAGGAAUCACAAAGCACGACCAAAUAUGAAGAAAAAUAAAAAGACAUAUAGGAGUAUAUAGUUCAUAGAUCAAAUAGAACUGAAGCAUCU
This 271-nucleotide long non-coding RNA is filed under the name Nicotiana benthamiana. RNAcentral describes it as "long non-coding RNA (NBEN_LNC036671)". Lineage: Eukaryota; Viridiplantae; Streptophyta; Magnoliopsida; Solanales; Solanaceae. The record is from RNAcentral.